This 316-nucleotide ribosomal RNA is filed under the name uncultured eukaryote. RNAcentral's name for it is "partial 18S ribosomal RNA". It matches the Rfam family "Eukaryotic small subunit ribosomal RNA", at positions 1470 to 1796 of the family's 1831-position model. The record is from RNAcentral.
CCCUUAGAUGUUCUGGGCCGCACGCGCGCUACACUGAUUCAUGCAACAAGUUUUGUCCUUGGCUGAUAGGCCUGGGCAAUCUUUGAACGUGAAUCGUGAUGGGGAUAGAUGAUUGCAAUUAUUCAUCUUCAACGAGGAAUUCCUAGUAAACGCAAGUCAUCAGCUUGCAUUGAUUACGUCCCUGCCCUUUGUACACACCGCCCGUCGCACCUACCGAUUUCGAGUGGUUCGGUGAACCUUUCGGACCGGCAAUGCCUCGUGUUGCGCCGGAAAGUCAAGUAAACCAUAUCACUUAGAGGAAGGAGAAGUCGUAACA